GGCGAAAGCGGCCUCGACUGCCGCGACCUAGGGAGCGGCUGCGGCGACGGCUUCGGUGGGCGGCGACGACGUCGAUGGGCGGCAGUGGCAGGCGGCUGCGGCGACGGCCGGUGGCGGGCGGCAGCGGCAGGCGGCUGCGGCGACGGCCGAUGGCGGGCGGCCGCAGCGGCGCGGAUCUGGCGCCGGCCACGCGGCGGCCGGCGGUGGGCGGCGCGGCCGGCUAGGGUUCCUUUUUUUUUUUGCUAAAAAUUAUCCCGGAUAUCCGAUGAAAAUUCCCGGAUAGUUUCCGACCGAAUUCGUUUUCAUAUCCGAGAAAAAAAUUCGAAUUCGUUUCCGAAUCCGAGAAAUUCUGAAUAGUUCCGACCGAAUUUUUCCGAAUUCGAAAAUUGGUCCGGACGGACGGAAACUAUCCGAACCAGUUUCAUCCCUAGUGCCAACCGCUCAACUCCCCUUCGAUUCGGUCCGCGUCGCCCUCUCCACUGCUGACCUCGCCGCCGGCAUCGCCGCCACCCUCCUCCCUGGCCACAAUCCGGUGACUCCUCCGUGCGGACGAGAAAAAGGAAAACGUGGGACGCCAAACGCACCUACGCACGAUGGCCAUCCAACGGCGGAGAACGCACGCAACGACCGCGCUCCAAAUCCACCCCUGGGCUCCGGGCCGGAUGACGUGCCAAGCAACGGCAAGGGCCACGACAGCGCAAAUCGCCGCCCAGACCAGCCAUUCCCGGCAAGUUUGUAUAUAAGAGAUAUGUUGGGGGUCUCCAAAACCCUACGUAUUUCAUAGGGCACACCCAUGUCGAAAUGCUACUUGCUUCCUCAUUUCAUUCAAUAUUUCUGAAUCGAUUUGCGCUUGUUUGUCAACUGAUUUGUAUUAGAUGGGAUGGAUGCCAAAUAAAGGGAGUAUAUUCGAGACGUUAGAUCUUCUCAUUGUUUCUA
Long non-coding RNA from Oryza sativa Japonica Group (Japanese rice), 936 nucleotides. RefSeq lists it as uncharacterized. Lineage: Eukaryota; Viridiplantae; Streptophyta; Magnoliopsida; Poales; Poaceae. The record is from RefSeq and is a predicted model, not a curated record.